Molecule: ribosomal RNA, 253 nt
Filed under: uncultured bacterium
Lineage: Bacteria
Description: partial 16S ribosomal RNA
Rfam family: Bacterial small subunit ribosomal RNA
Source: RNAcentral
UACGGAGGGUGCAAGCAUUACUCGGAUUUAUUGGGCGUAAAGGGCGCGUAGGCGGCUGUACAAGUCAAAGGUGAAAUCCCUCGGCUCAACUGAGGAACUGCCUUUGAAACUGUACGGCUUGAGGCCGGGAGGGGGUAGCGGAAUUCCCAAUGUAGCGGUGAAAUGCGUAGAUAUUGGGAAGAACACCGGUGGCGAAGGCGGCUCACUGGCUCAUUACUGACGCUCAGGCGCGAUAGCGUGGGGAUCAAACAGG